Molecule: ribosomal RNA, 1396 nt
Filed under: activated sludge metagenome
Description: bacterial LSU rRNA
Rfam family: Bacterial large subunit ribosomal RNA
Source: RNAcentral
GACAGCUAGGAUGUUGGCUUGGAAGCAGCCAUUCAUUCAAAGAGUGCGUAACAGCUCACUAGUCGAGAAUUCCGGCGUGGAUAAUAAUCGGGUAUUAAGUCGUCCGCCGAAGACGUGGAAUUGGUAUUAUUUUUUGAUACUGAUUGGUAGGGGAGCAUUCCAUUUACUUAGAAGGUUAUCUGUGAGGGUUGCUGGAGUUUAUGGAAAAGCAAAUGUAGGAAUGAGUAACGAUAAGGAGGGUUAGACUCCCUCCCGCCGAAAGACUAAGGUUUCCUGAUCUACGCUCAUCGGAUCAGGGUUAGUCGGGUCCUAAGGCUAAUUCGAAAGGAGAUGUCGAUGGUUCAAACGGUUAAUAUUCCGUUACUUCCUAUGCUUAGUGAUGUGGUGACGGAGCAGUGACAGCGCUGCCGGCAGACGGAAUUGCCGGUUAAAUGGUUUAGGUGUUGAUAGGUAUAGGCAAAUCCGUACCUUGAGCUGACCCUUAUAGUACAGACACCUUUCGGGGUGUUUGAUAAUGCGUGUAAUCAUACUUCCAAGAAAACCCGCUAAACGUUUUUAUGGCAUAGGAACCCGUACCUUAAACCGACACAGGUAGUUGUGUAGAAUAUACUAAGGCGCUUGAGAGAAUCAUGGUUAAGGAACUAGGCAACUUGACCCCGUAACUUCGGGAUAAGGGGUCCUCCGUUUAUUCGGAGGCGCAGAGAAUAGGUCCAGGCAACUGUUUAUCAAAAACACAGGGCUGUGCUAAGUAUUACUACGAUGUAUACAGCCUGACACCUGCCCGGUGCCGGAAGGUUAAGAGGAGACGUUAGCGCAAGCGAGGCGUUGAAUUGAAGCCCCGGUAAACGGCGGCCGUAACUAUAACGGUCCUAAGGUAGCGAAAUUCCUUGUCGGGUAAGUUCCGACCUGCACGAAUGGUGUAAUGAUCUGGACGCUGUCUCAAUCAUGAUCUCAGUGAAAUUGUAGUAUCGGUGAAGAUGCCGAUUUCCCGCGAUGGGACGAAAAGACCCCGUGAACCUUUACUAUAGCUUAACGUUGCGUUUGGGCCACUGAUGUGUAGGAUAGGCCGGAGGCUUUGAAGUAGUGACGCCAGUCAUUAUGGAGCCGCUGUUGAAAUACGGCCCUUUUGUUGUCUGGAUGCUAACGCGUUUAUUUUCGCGGACACCGUUUGGUGGGUAGUUUGACUGGGGUGGUCGCCUCCAAAAUGGUAACGGAGGCUUCUCAAGGUACCCUCAUGACGAUUGGUAACCGUCAGUAGAGUGUAAUGGCAUAAGGGUGCUUGACUGAGAGACCUACAAGUCGAUCAGGUAGGAAACUAGAGCAUAGUGAUCCGGUGGUUCCGUAUGGAAGGGCCAUCGCUCAAAGGAUAAAAGGUACUCCGGGGAUAACAGGCUGA